AAAGGAGGGUUGUGUUAGGUCUUCGACAGCCAACAUAACAACUUAGUCGAAUCUUCAUGACAUGGAUCAAAGAUGUUAUUGCGCUAAAGCUAGAUCGUUGUGGUCAAACGAGAUCUACAUGUAAAUGAUCUCUCUAUAGACUUGAUACAUGAUAGAGCUCAAUGGCGUCAUUUGAUUCAUGUAACCGAUCCUACCUAGUGGGACAAGGCUUUGUUGUUGUUGUUGUUGUUGUUGUUGUU
Non-coding RNA from Arachis ipaensis, 239 nucleotides. The record is from RefSeq and is a predicted model, not a curated record. NCBI's taxonomy places the organism in Eukaryota, Viridiplantae, Streptophyta, Magnoliopsida, Fabales, Fabaceae.